Prunus mume (Japanese apricot) is the source of this 1214-nucleotide non-coding RNA. The record is from RefSeq and is a predicted model, not a curated record. Lineage: Eukaryota; Viridiplantae; Streptophyta; Magnoliopsida; Rosales; Rosaceae.
CUUUCACCGGUAACCAGAAGCUUCUUCUUCUUUCUGUCCCCUAGGGUUUUCUGGAUUAGUACAGCUUCACUACUUCUCGAUUCUCAACCCAAUUCCUGCGAAGAAUUCAGAGCAAUGCCUCGGUAUUAUUGUGACUACUGUGACACUUAUUUGACCCACGAUUCGCCUUCAGUUAGAAAGCAACACAAUGCUGGUUAUAAACACAAGGCAAACGUGAGGUUGUACUAUCAGAAAUUUGAGGAGCAACAAACCCAAAGUUUGGUUGACCAAAGAAUCAAGGAGCACCUUGGCCAGCACCUUGGCCAAGCUGCAGCUUACGGGCAAGUUGGUGCAGCUUACAAUCAACAUUUAAUGGCUCAGCGGCCCCGUCUUCCUGUUCUACCAACACCUGGUAUGCCACAAAUGCCUGGAGGUGCACAAAUGGUCCCAGGGAUGAGGCCUCCAGUUUUGCCAAGACCUAUGCCUGGAGCUCCAGGAGGAUAUGGCUCUGCUCCACCCAUGAUGUCAAUGAUGGCUCCACCUGGUGCUCCUGGAAUGCCUGGUCAAUUAAAUGUUCCGAUGAGGCCUCCCACUAUGAAUCCUCCACCAACAGUUCCUGGCAGCACAGCACCAAAUGCUUCUAUUGGUGUCCCUUCUAUGGCUCCACCUCCAAUGUAUCAAUCCAAUCAAACACCACCAACAAGUGGAGGCUAUGAUGGUUUUAAUCCCAAUACCCAACCUCCUGAUUCUAGUCAAUAAUGUGGUCAAAUUGGUAUGUGGUAUUCCUGUACUUAAGAAAACUGAGGCAUCUUGCAAGAGUGUGCAAUCACUUGAAAACCAGGGAAUAUCACUGAUGUUGCAGCACUUUCGUUCGAGAAGUCUUCUGCCAUAAUUUGGUAUAAUGUCCUUUCAUCAUGUGAUGUGAACCAGGAGCUAGUCAUUUGUUGUUAAAGGUGGAAAUUGUGGGAUCGUGAGAGGAUCCUUCCUGUAAUAGUAAUGGAAAUUGUGCAAUUUAACAAUUUUGUAGGCCAAUUGUAUCCCUUCCGAAAAUCACACCUUAUUCUGAUGGUUCGUAUUUAUAAGAGCAUGUUGUAAAAAAUGUGCAGUCAUAUACAAAGUUAAAAUUUGAGGGCGAUUACAUGUUUUGGGAUCUUAUGGUGUGGCAGAGCCAUAGAGAUCUUGUAAAUGAUGUUGGAUUUUAAGCUUUUCUUCCCCCAACUCAUUUUUAUUGUCUC